UGGGGAAUAUUGCGCAAUGGGCGAAAGCCUGACGCAGCGACGCCGCGUGGGUGAUGAAGGCCUUCGGGUCGUAAAGCCCUGUCGGGAGGGAAGAAACCUCGGUGAGUUAAUAUCUCGCCGAAUUGACGGUACCUCCGAAGGAAGCACCGGCUAACUCCGUGCCAGCAGCCGCGGUAAUACGGAGGGUGCAAGCGUUGUUCGGAAUUACUGGGCGUAAAGCGCGUGUAGGCGGCUCCUUAAGUCUGAUGUGAAAGCCCGGGGCUCACCCCCGGAAGUGCAUUGGAAACUGGGGAGCUAGAGUACCGGAGAGGAGGGUGGAAUUCCUGGUGUAGCGGUGAAAUGCGUAGAUAUCAGGAGGAACACCGGUGGCGAAGGCGGCCCUCUGGACGGAUACUGACGCUGAGACGCGAAAGCGUGGGGAGCAAACAGGAUUAGAUACCCGCGUAGUCC
RNAcentral lists this ribosomal RNA (450 nucleotides) under uncultured bacterium. Its description in RNAcentral is "bacterial SSU rRNA". It matches the Rfam family "Bacterial small subunit ribosomal RNA", at positions 355 to 796 of the family's 1533-position model. The record is from RNAcentral.